This is a long non-coding RNA of Portunus trituberculatus (swimming crab), 1048 nucleotides long. RefSeq lists it as uncharacterized. The record is from RefSeq and is a predicted model, not a curated record. The transcript has 3 exons. Lineage: Eukaryota; Metazoa; Arthropoda; Malacostraca; Decapoda; Portunidae.
ACAGUGACGGACUGCUAACUGACCCUUGCGUGUAUACGUCUGGGAGAGGCGCGGAUCGUUGUGUGUGUAAUGCGUGUAUGCAUCCUGGUGGUGCCAGCUGGGUGAGUGGCUCUUGCCUUUCACACCGGAGUGGAUAAAGAGGAGAGGAUAAGCCAUUAGGAGAAGAGGUCAAAGCAGAAAAGGAAGCUUUGAGGAGGGAGUUGUGAGGGUUGACUGCAGGCACCCCCUUGAUUCACAUAAUUGACCUUUGAAGCCCGAACAAGCUAAGGGGACACUCGAUACGCAAGUACGUCAUAACCCACGACGCAGUAAGGAGCACCCAAGGACGUCCGCUGAAGCAAAGAUACCAUGGAGGCGAGGAGGCAAUAUAGGACGCGGUGACCAAACGGAGUUGAAGUGGCUCUGGUUUAAGUUCUUUUUGGCGCGUGAUUGCCAGUGCCCUGAAUAGCGAUCAGUCAGAUGGCGUUGGGAGUGAAGCAGCAACAAGGGUUCUUCAAAGAAACGCAUGUCCAUGUGGUAAUAAAGAUAUGAUAUAUAAUGUGACCCGAUCGCUUUCAUACAGCAUAAUGACAGUAUUCCUGGGUAGUGUUGUGUGGUGGUCAUGGUGUUGAGGUUGUUAUUGUGAAUAUGUUUUGAUGAGUGGUGGUGGAAUGCAAUUGUUAUUAUUGUUACUAUGCUGAUAGUCUUCUGUAUAGGUGUCGGCGUUCAGGGACCUACACGAACGCACGCACGCUGGCACGCACACAUGCUGGCACACACGCACGCACGCACGCAUAUUUAAAGGGAAAAGCACCUGACAAAUAUAUAAACAAAGACAUAACUGGGUGAGUGUAGACGCUGUACUAUAACAACCAAGUAAAAGUAACGUAAAAACAAGAUUUCUAACCUACCACAGAUCACCUUAACCUAACCUAACCUGAACUAAAUUAAAAGGAAAUCCAUGAUCUGACAUAACAUAAGAUAAAAGGAGGUCACUAACCUAACCUAAUCUAACCUAACGAAAUAACUACAUAAACGUAUGAGUCAGGGAAUGUUCAUAUACCACUAG